AAUCCAUGGUUUGGGCAUUUCCUGAGCAUAGAUUUAAAUCGAUCCCAUGCUUCGCAUAGGCAUUCCCCAGAAGGCUGGAUAAAGGUGGAGAUUGCCAUUUUUAAAUCC
This 108-nucleotide small nucleolar RNA is filed under the name Lupinus angustifolius (narrow-leaved blue lupine). RNAcentral's name for it is "Plant small nucleolar RNA R71". It matches the Rfam family "Plant small nucleolar RNA R71". From Rfam's summary of the family: R71 is a member of the C/D box family of snoRNAs containing the C (UGAUGA) and D (CUGA) box motifs. Lineage: Eukaryota; Viridiplantae; Streptophyta; Magnoliopsida; Fabales; Fabaceae. The record is from Rfam by way of RNAcentral.